Molecule: long non-coding RNA, 329 nt
Organism: Ruditapes philippinarum (Manila clam)
Lineage: Eukaryota; Metazoa; Mollusca; Bivalvia; Venerida; Veneridae
Exons: 3
Source: RefSeq, a predicted model, not a curated record
AACAAUUAUAAUAUUUGUCUUUCCUUAUUAGAUUUUUAAGAGAUACAGGUAUCAAAGUGUCAUUCAUUUUGUUGGAUUGCACGAUGCAGUCUGCAAUUUAUUAAGAUCAAUAAAUUCUUUAUAUAAAAACAGCAACAACACUAUUCUUACAAGGUUCAGUUGGAUUUUUAAAAAAUGAUGUCUGGAAAAUUUAUCUGUUCAUGUUUCCUUCUGUUCCUACUCCAAGCAACACGAAGCACAGCUUCAUUGAUAUGCAAUAAAUGUAACAGCAGUGCAGGUUUAGAAAAAUGCCAUGACGUUAUUCAAUGUGGGGACAAACAAGUAUGGUU